This 116-nucleotide ribosomal RNA is filed under the name Candidatus Saccharimonadota bacterium. The record is from RNAcentral. Lineage: Bacteria; Candidatus Saccharimonadota.
CUCGGUGACUGGGGCGGUGAUGUUCUACCCCUUACCAUUCCGAACAGGGUCGUAAAAGUCACCAGCGUUGAUGGUACUGUCGCCUUGUGCGGCGGGAGAGUAGAUCGUUGCCGAGA